GAUCAUGGCUCAGAUUGAACGCUGGCGGCAGGCCUAACACAUGCAAGUCGAGCGGUAGAGAGAAGCUUGCUUCUCUUGAGAGCGGCGGACGGGUGAGUAUGCCUAGGAAUCUGCCUGGUAGUGGGGGAUAACGUUCGGAAACGGACGCCAAUACCGCAUACGUCCUACGGGAGAAAGCAGGGGACCUUCGGGCCUUGCGCUAUCAGAUGAGCCUAGGUCGGAUUAGCUAGUUGGUGAGGUAAUGGCUCACCAAGGCGACGAUCCGUAACUGGUCUGAGAGGAUGAUCAGUCACACUGGAACUGAGACACGGUCCAGACUCCUACGGGAGGCAGCAGUGGGGAAUAUUGGACAAUGGGCGAAAGCCUGAUCCAGCCAUGCCGCGUGUGUGAAGAAGGUCUUCGGAUUGUAAAGCACUUUAAGUUGGGAGGAAGGGCAGUUACCUAAUACGUGAUUGUUUUGACGUUACCGACAGAAUAAGCACCGGCUAACUCUGUG
This 496-nucleotide ribosomal RNA is filed under the name uncultured bacterium. Its description in RNAcentral is "bacterial SSU rRNA". It matches the Rfam family "Bacterial small subunit ribosomal RNA", at positions 15 to 507 of the family's 1533-position model. The record is from RNAcentral.